RNAcentral lists this ribosomal RNA (460 nucleotides) under uncultured bacterium. Its description in RNAcentral is "partial 16S ribosomal RNA". It matches the Rfam family "Bacterial small subunit ribosomal RNA", at positions 338 to 795 of the family's 1533-position model. The record is from RNAcentral.
CCUACGGGUGGCAGCAGUGAGGAAUAUUGGUCAAUGGACGAGCGUCUGAACCAGCCAAGUAGCGUGAAGGAUGACUGCCCUAUGGGUUGUAAACUUCUUUUAUAUGGGAAUAAAACGUUCCACGUGUGGGAUUUUGUAUGUACCAUAUGAAUAAGGAUCGGCUAACUCCGUGCCAGCAGCCGCGGUAAUACGGAGGAUCCGAGCGUUAUCCGGAUUUAUUGGGUUUAAAGGGUGCGUAGGUGGAUUGUUAAGUCAGUUGUGAAAGUUUGCGGCUCAACCGUAAAAUUGCAGUUGAAACUGGCAGUCUUGAGUACAGUAGAGGUAGGCGGAAUUCGUGGUGUAGCGGUGAAAUGCUUAGAUAUCACGAAGAACUCCGAUUGCGAAGGCAGUUCACUGGACUGCAACUGAUACUGAGGCUCGAAAGUGUGGGUAUCAAACAGGAUUAGAUACCCCAGUAGUU